Molecule: long non-coding RNA, 7427 nt
Filed under: Lactuca sativa (garden lettuce)
Lineage: Eukaryota; Viridiplantae; Streptophyta; Magnoliopsida; Asterales; Asteraceae
Description: long non-coding RNA (LSAT_LNC002257)
Source: RNAcentral
AUAUAACCACAACAUGGUCGGGAGUUCAUCCACCCAGGCGGACUUUGAUCCGAGUUACCUUUUGUUCAAACCAUUAACUAUGGUUUUGUUUGAUAUCUCAAUCUGUCCGCUGGUCUGAGGAUGUGCUACUGAUGUGAACUGGCGAUGGAUUUCUUCUCUUCACACCACUCCUUGAAGGGGAUUCCUGAUGGGUUUUAUGCAUAAGAACAACCCUAUGUGCUCAUACAAACCCUAAUGCUUGGAUCUAGGUUUCUCUAUUGUACAUGCUUUGAAUCCAAGACUAAUAAACUUAGAUCUAACAUAUUAUAAACUGAAUAAGGGUUUAUAGAAUUACCUUUGAUUGUUAUAUAGCAAUAACAAUCAAUCCCUUGCUUGGAUUGGCUUCAAAAGCUUAGUGCCUCAAGUGAUGCACCUCUAAUGGAGUCACAAACACCUUAUGCAACUUGGAUGAAGAAGAGAAGAAGAGAGGCUGCCCAAAAACGACUAGAAACCCUAGAGAAUCAGUUGUCCACGUUUUUGGAGCCUAAGGGGUCCUUUAUAUACUUGUGUGGGCUGCUAGGGUUUCAGUCAAAACCCUAAUGGAUAGCUUAAACUCUAAGCAGCCCAUGGAACCUUCUGGAUAAGGCUAUGGACGAAAAUAUGAUGGGCUUCCAUCAUAAUUUCGUUCACCCCUUAUUCAUUUAGCAUUCCUUAGCCCAAUAACUCAAUUAUCCAAUAAUUGCAGUCCAGUCCCCUAAAUUUAAUUAAUCUCUUUUAGCCACAAAAUUAAUUAUCAAUUAAUUAUUGACUAAUACUAAUUAAACAAUAUGAUUUCUCCUUUAAUAUAUUAUUCUCAUAAUAUAUUAAUAAAUCAUAUUUAAACCUUUCUCUCCUUAAAUCAUCCUACAUAUUGCUAUGGUGAAGGCAACCCAAAAGGACCAUGCUCAUAAUCGGGUCAAGUACAUACCAAAAUAGUUAUGGACUUAGACACUAAUCCAACAGUCUCCCACUUGGAUAAGUCUAAUAACUAUUUUCCGUAUGACUUCAGAACCUGAUCAGCAAUCGUAGCUUUCAAAAGCCGCUGUCAACUCUGAUCUUAUCAGAUAGCGUGUCCUCUAGAUAAGGGAUUAUAUAUUCCUCCAUUCUCAAGAUAUCGUAUAGACAAAAGACAUGAAUUUCAAUCAUUCUCUCUAUACUGUUUCCCGACUUCCGAUUUAUGACGACUGAUAACAGACUACAAUUGAACACAUCAACUUAGUCCCGGCUUGGCCAAGCGCUUAGGUGUCAUCACUAAAUCAUCGAGAGGCCCACAUAUAUCGCUUUUAUCCCACUUUGGGUAAAAGGAAUGGAUAAACUUCGACUCAAAUGCUCGCUUGCAUUUACUGAUCGAAUCACACACAACAAUAAGUUUUAUAACACCAAGUUACUGGUGCGUUUACUUAUUAUCAAUGUGCAACCGACCAACAAAUAACAACUCACACGUCUCGGUUUCAAGAAUAUACAAUAUUAUCGUCUCACUAAUCACUCGUGAUAAAACCAUGAAGUGAUCCAAGUGAGCGUGGGUUUAAUCCAAUACUCUAAUCUUAUCAAAGCACUCAUGAACUCUGCAGCAAACUUGUGCUAUGUCUAAACACUUCAGACAAUCUACAGACAGAUUCAUGACAGUCUUUAUUCAUACCUACUCCCAACGUAUGACCGACUGUGGAUGUUUGAAUAACCUAGUUAUUCUGGAAGUCAAAACAUGCAAAUUGAAACAUAACAAUAAUACUUAAUCCUAUAUGGCCUCAAACUUGUGAGAGUAAAUAAAACACUUCUAUUUAACCACCAUAUUGAUUACUCAUUAUUAUCGUUUACUGUUUCAGAAAAUCAACUUAUUACUUAAAUUACAACAAUAGCUGUCCCAUGCAUAAAGCAUGCACACUAUGUUUCCUAUGGUCCUUACUUUGUGAAAUAGAUCAAUUGAAAAACCUUUUCAAUGAUGCUCAUUUCACAAUUCCCAAUCCUUAUCAUUAGUGUAAGAACACAAGGUUCUUUGCUACUAUUAGAAUAUGCUAGAUUCUAACAUCUUAUGCAACGAUCCUUUCAUAAAGUCAUAGCACAAAAGUCACCAAGACUUGGCUAAUGAAAUUACAAAGUACUUUCUUAGAAAUUGUUACAAGACAAUUCCAUAGACGUGAAGUCUCACAUUCAAAGUACAUUCCUUUGAACAUCCUUCUUGCAUAAAAGUUUCUAAUCUAGACAUAGAUUCUCAAUAUCCAACUCCCAAUAUGGAAACAUUUCCACAUUUGCCAUAUGACAACUCAUUCUUAAUAGAAUCUUAUCUAUUCAUAAUAAUGUCGAUAUGGUCCAUCCAAUACCAUACUUCCAACUACUCACAAGCGACCAAUCCUCAGCGAACUUUGGAUCGUCCUUUGAUAGUUGUUUAAUUAUUUUAGUCAAAACCAAUUCUAGUCCUUUUUCCCUCUUAAUGCGCUAGACAUUUGGAAAAUUUUAGAAUGGUAAAAUAUUAUAGCAUUUGCAAUCGAUCCUAUACCCGAAGCGUAUGGGACACGAUGCAUAAUGUCUUACAUAAAGAUAUGAUACUUUACCAAUCUUUUGCCAUAAUAUUUUAUGUGUCAUGUUCUCACAAUUCGAACUAUGAAGAGGGAUGCCGUAAUCAUAAUCGAAUUUUAAGAACACACAAUGUAUCCUUUGACUGAAAAUAUUAAAAUUUCUCAAUCUAAGCUUUAGAUUUUGAAACGAAGUAUAAUAUUCUCUCCCUUAAUUAUAUUAAAACAACUUUUCAACCCAUGCAACUUUGCAAAUUGAAUCUUUGUUUUUCUAUAAUUAAUAUUGCUAACUUGCAAUACUCGCCAUAAUAAUCAUACAAGCAUAACACUUAUGCUCCCACUAUCAUGAUGAUUAUUAUCAUAUAAGCAUAACACUUAUGCUCCCACUAGCUUUGACAUGUAUUCAGAAAACAAAUGAACUUUCAGAAAACAAUGCCUAUUGAAUUUCUGAAAUUCAUAUUUCUAAUACCAGAUGCUUCGAUAAGCCUUUAUCUAGGCUUCUUAACCUUAUACACCUUUGUCUUAGAUAGCUCAUAUGUGUGUUUAAACAAUUCAGAACUUAUGUUACUAAGUUCCAAAUGUUGAAACUAAUUGCCAAAUCUCAUAAUUCGAACUAUGGAAAGGGAUGCCGUAACCAUAAUCGAAUUUGAGAAUACAAUUUUCACAAUUGCUAUCUUCUUAAAAUCUCUCUUAGUGAAAGCAUUUCCUCACAGUCAUUUUCAUGAAGGAGGGAAUCUUAUGACACUUAGAUUUUAUGGUGUAUGAGUUCCUAUCCAUGUGAAUUUGCCAAAACCAAGGUUUGCGACAAAUCCAAACUCAUAUGGACUGAACUUUCUUAAUCUUGAUUUCUUGCCUUAUGGUAACACGAGUGCCCACCAUGUCUUCCAAGUAGUUUAGUAACUUGUCCUUACAUAUCAAUGUACUUUCCAUCGACUAAGGCUCUAGUAUGCAUUCAAAUGAGAACUCAUAGAACUCACAUACGCAAUUAACUCAAUUGGAAUGGCACAAAAACAAAAUAAUGUCAGCACGAUAGGUUGCAAACCUCAAGUCGUGUGCUAGUGAUGAUCGAUAAGGUAUAUUCUUGAUUUGUUCUUGAAACCUUUCAAGACCAUUAAGACUCCCACUGACUCCUUGACAUAUAAGAUUCUCUUGUCAAGAAACAUUUCUUGACAAAGCAAAUAUUCAAGAGUUAGUGUAGUUCUUAUCAAGACAAAACACUUCACAAAUUGGUCCUAGUUGGUCUUUGUCUUAUCCAAGACAUCACAACUUACCAAUUUCUAAUGUGCAAGAAUAAGAAAACUUUUCCAAAUUCCACAUUUGAUGAGUGUUAUAAACCUACUUAAGACUUGUCACUCAAUGUCACAAUCUUGGAGUAUGACUCUAAGACUUGAUAUUGGAACGAAGUAUGAUUGACUCUUUGAUUUAACCAUUUCUACAAUUCUCGAUUCCUCUUCUUAGACAUGCAAAUGCACUAAGACUCACUUAGAGGAUCAAUUGAGAUAUGGUUCUUAAUCAUUAAGACUUCAUCAUAAAACACAAUAAAAGGUACUCUCCCUUCUUCUUAGAAUGGAGAAACUUUUAUCUUUCUGCCUUCUUGAUUCUUCUUAUUCGUUCUGCUAUUGAUUGAAACUAUUUCAGUUAACUCAGAAUUAUACUCAAUCUUAUAAGUAUAACCAUAUUUACUAAACUUUAGUAAAUCAUGACGAAUAUCUUUGUCACUCUUGUGGUAGACUUGAUCAACGUACGACCUAGUGUACUCGAUCUCCUAGUCCUUCAAUUGACACUUUGUCAAAGAAUUAGUCUAAGUUUCCCAAAUGUGAAAGUUUUUCAUUCAUCAUACAAUACACAUUGCAUGAUUCCAAGUUUCUGUCCAAUUGAAACUUGGGCGAUGAGAAACUCUCCCUAUUUGGUAAACUUUUGACAUUUCCACAAAUAACAUAAUUAAGAAUCAAAUCCAUUAUUGCUAAUAAUAGAAACAUUCAAACAUCAAUUUUUCAUACAUGCCAUUGCAAGGAUAAAUAAAUAAGAUAAAAUCAAAAUUCAUUUUAUUGCGGAAAAAAUUUGUCCUUACAAUGCAAUUCAAUUGAAAAACUAUGUUAUUACAUAUUUCUUAACAAUCUAUUCUAACUCCAAGUAGUAGCUCAAGAAUCCAUUCUUCAAGUAAUGCGAUCGAAAUCCAUUUCUUCAUGAUUAGAUUCAGCUCACUUCUUCCCUCAAGCUUCCUCUCUUUUCUUCGAUCCUACAAAACAUCAAAAUGUAAUCUUAUCACAUCAUGUAUUAAGAAUCUAGAAUAGGAACUCAAAAGAGUUAGAUAAUGGAUUUUACCUGAAGCAGAGCCAUACGUCUUGACUCUCCCAUCUCUUAGAUCUCUCAGGUAGUUAGGGCAGCUUCGUCUCCAAUGCCCCUUCUCUUGGCAAUAAAAGCAAAUGGACUCCUUUGGCACAGCACAUCGGACAAUCACAGACUUAGUUCUUUCUGGACUUCCAAUGUUGCCAGUGUCCAUUGAAGUUUGGGAGUUUGAUUCACCAGACAAAUUUGCUUGACCAGCACGCCAAAUCAUUGCUGAUUCAGCAGCUAUAAGCAAAUAGGUGAGAUCAAUUAGGGUCACGUCGUGGUCCAUCAUAUAGUACUCUCUAACGAACUCACUAUAUGAUUCAGGAAGUGACUGAAGAACCCAGUCAACAGCCAACUCACUUGAAAUCUCGACACCCAACAUGUUUAACCUAUCAAUGUGUGACUUCAUCUCUAAGACGUGUGCACACACAGGUUUCCCAUCUUCGUGUUUACUUGCCAAAAGGGCUUGAGUGAGCUUGAACUUUUCAAGCCUUUGAACUUGUGGGUCAGGGAGAACAAUUGGAGGAGGUGGAGGAAGUGAAGCAUGACUCUCAUUUCCUUGAUCGUAUCUCGGAACGUCAUCUUCAUUUGGAAAGCUUGUUCCAAAGGAUUUGGGAAGACCAUUGUAAGAUUCAGACAUCUACAAAACGGGAGAAAAUUCAAGUUAUGUUGAUUAGAAUUCUUGAUGUAACACCCAAAUGAAACAUCAAGCUAGGAUCCAACACAAUAUUCUACAACCUAGAAAAGGGAUGCCGUAAUCUAGUUGCAAAAUAUUUGAAGGUAGGUAAAUGACGAUUUACCAAUUUCCACCAUGAAAAACGAAAAGGAAGAUUAAGUUUUAAAUGAAUUGAAACUCCUAGAUCUUUUGAGAUUCAUUGAACUUUUCAAUGGCAUGUUUAAUCUCGAUUAUGCCCUACUAUUUGUGACUGGGAUGCCGAGGAUCACAAACAAGGUGUGAAUAACCAUACGAAUCACGUGGUGCACCCAAUGCUACAAUCACCUAAUCAAUGUGCCGGUUAGCCACACACGCUCCAUUGAUCUAUGAUAAACAUCGAGUCACCCUUCGCUACCAAUGUCAUCCCCAAAUUAGUGUGCCGGUUAACCACACACGCUCCACUAACGUUUGACAAGGGUACGAAGUGUAAUUCCAUGGGUUAGCAUACAAUUUCACAUUUUGCCUAAAGUAACUAUGAUUUGGGAAUUUGAAAAAGCAUUUAGUUACUUUGUACUUCAUUAUACUUAUAAUGGAAGGUUUCUGUCCUAUCCUACCCGUUCGGCUAACGACCCUCCACUAGUCAAGAGUGCGGUGGGUAAGAGUGGAUACCCAUUCAAUCGCCAUUUUAUAGGCAAUUUCCUUAAACACCCCUUAUAGACCAGCUUCGUGAAUGAGGCCUACUAACGGUAAGACUGACUGUUUACUCAUACAUAUAUAUAAUAUUAGACUUUUAAUGUUAUAUAUAGUAUAGGAUGUAUUUUACACUUUUAAAAUACUAGGUGGUUUAACUUAGUAAAUUAUACUUUUAAUUUAAUUAAAUGUAAACCAAAAACUUUAUGGGUUUAUUAAAUCGCCUUUAAUUAUGCACUUUAAUUAAUUAACAAAACCAUAAGGGUGUGAUUUGAACUUUUCAAAUUACUAGGGUUUUAGAAUUUAACAUUUCAAAAUUAAACUUUUAGUCGAAUUUUUAAAUUCCAAAACUUGAGGGCAAGUUUUGAAAUAUUUCAAAACAUUAGGGAUCAAAUAACAUAUAAUUCAAAUUAAACAAUUAAUUUCAUAAUUAUCUAUAUUUGACCUAAUCUUAUCUUAGACACUAGAUAAUUACCAAAUAAUUUGAAUUAAUCCAUAUUUAUCAUAUAAACAACCAAUAUUUAAAAGAUUUGAAAUUAUCUAUUGUUUUGGCAAGGAUAAACAUAUAAUUAAGAUAAAAUUCAGAUUUUAACUUCAUAAAACAAAUUAAGCAUCAAAUCUAAGUCAAAACAGCAGCUAAAUCCCGAAAUUCCCUCUGUCUGACCCCUGGACUCGCCGAGUCAGACCUGGACUCGCCGAGUCCAGAUACUGACUCGCCGAGUUGAGUUGGGCAGAGGCCAAAAACUCGAUUUUAAGCAAACAAAAUAGUUAAGCAUCAGAUACAACUGAAAACAAUCAAGUCUCUGAUACCACUGAUGGGUUUUAUGCAUAAGAACAACCCUAUGUGCUCAUACAAACCCUAAUGCUUGGAUCUAGGUUUCUCUAUUGUACAUGCUUUGAAUCCAAGACUAAUAAACUUAGAUCUAACAUAUUAUAAACUGAAUUAGGGUUUAUAGAAUUACCUUUGAUUGUUAUAUAGCAAUAACAAUCAAUCCCUUGCUUGGAUUGGCUUCAAAAGCUUAGUGCCUCAAGUGUUGCACCUCUAAUGGAGUCACAAACACCUUAUGCAACUUGGAUGAAGAAGAGAAGAAGAGAGGCUGCCCAAAAACGACUAGAAACCCUAGAGAAUCAGUUGUUCACGUUUUUGGAGCCUAAGGGGUCCUUUAUAUACUUGUGUGGGCUGCUAGGGUUUCAGUCAAAACCCUAAUGGACAGCUUAAA